Ricinus communis (castor bean) is the source of this 784-nucleotide long non-coding RNA. RefSeq lists it as uncharacterized. The record is from RefSeq and is a predicted model, not a curated record. The transcript has 3 exons. NCBI's taxonomy places the organism in Eukaryota, Viridiplantae, Streptophyta, Magnoliopsida, Malpighiales, Euphorbiaceae.
GAGGAAGGCAGCUGAAACUUCCUUGCCGCCAUGCGUGUGAUUCCAGCGACGGUAGCCGCUGAUUCUGGUGGCAAUCUGCUCCUCUUGGCGAGAGCUUCCUUUUGGCGGCAGCGGCUACGUGAAUGGUGGCCGGAGAUGGAAGUUCGCGGUGGAGAGAGAAAGUAGGUGGCAGCCGCGUUUUCAGGCUUUUCCGGCGAGCUCCGGCGGAUGAUGGAUGAUCGGAGGACAUAUCCCGACUCUCCUCAGCUCAAGCUUCACAGUGGCACCGGUUUCGUGGCGACCGGACUUCGUUUGCAAAUCAACGGUCGAGAUCGUCCGCAAAGCUCUCCGGAUGAUUGGGGUCGGAUCAGAAAAUUGGAAGCAGGGAUCAUCAUCAGUGCGUCGUUUUGAGUUCAUUGGUGUGUUCGGAUCGUCGAUCGGACUCUGGCGGCUGGGGGAGAGUCGACCGAGCGAUCAAGCAUCUCGAUGAUCUGUCAGUUCGGCUCGCUCCACCUGAAGCACCAGAGCAGAGCUAAGAGGUCGCCAAAGCUAUCCGUGACUGUUAGUCUUCCCGUGACCCUUAUCUAGUAUCCCGACUCCUUCAUCAUCGGGUGGUGUAUUUGAUUUGGUAUGUUAAUUUGUAAAAUCUUAGAUUCUCCACAGUUGAAAUAGUAAAUGUAUCAGUUGUAAUGCUUUGUAGUUUUGAGUCUAGCCUAAUUCUUCUAGCAGACCGAAUUAAUUGUGUAUAUUUAAUGGUUGCGAAAUUGUGGAAUCGAUAAUAUUAAAUAAGAUGAGAUUUAUUUAA